CGAAGGGGGCUAGCGUUGCUCGGAUUUACUGGGCGUAAAGGGCGCGUAGGCGGACGAUCAAGUUGGGGGUGAAAUCCCGGGGCUUAACCUCGGAACUGCCUCCAAAACUGAUAGUCUAGAGUUUGGGAGAGGUGUGUGGAACUCCGAGUGUAGAGGUGAAAUUCGUAGAUAUUCGGAAGAACACCAGUGGCGAAGGCGACACACUGGCCCAAUACUGACGCUGAGGCGCGAAAGCGUGGGGAGCAAACAGGAUUAGAUACCCUGGUAGUCCACGCCGUAAACGAUGAGUGCUAGUUGUCGGCAUGCAUGCAUGUCGGUGACGCAGCUAACGCAUUAAGCACUCCGCCUGGGGAGUACGGUCGCAAGAUUA
Molecule: ribosomal RNA, 370 nt
Filed under: uncultured organism
Description: bacterial SSU rRNA
Rfam family: Bacterial small subunit ribosomal RNA
Source: RNAcentral